Arachis stenosperma is the source of this 2394-nucleotide long non-coding RNA. RefSeq lists it as uncharacterized. Lineage: Eukaryota; Viridiplantae; Streptophyta; Magnoliopsida; Fabales; Fabaceae. The transcript is spliced from 9 exons. The record is from RefSeq and is a predicted model, not a curated record.
UGUAGAAAGUGGUAGUUUUUUGGUGAUUUAGGCGGUUUUAAACGCCAUUACUUGCUCCUGCUUCAUUGGUAAAAAAAUUAUUCUAUUUCACUAAUAAAGACUAUGCUAUUCAAUCGAACCUCCAUCACCAUGUGAGAACCAAGAAGAAACUCCAUCGUAACAUGAGAUUUGCGAUCUCAUCCACGAUGCUCUCCUCUGGCGGCAAUGCCGUUGUUGCUGCCUUCGAAGGAGCGCUCUUCUUUGAUUAGGUUUUCUGGCUUCGAUUUGAGGGUUCGUUGCGCCGCCGCUCAUCUCCUCGUCACCACAAGCAACACCAUCAUUGCUGUCCUCGGUGGAGCUUCUACUAUCUGGUAUAAUCUGAGAUCGCACAUCGGAGGGAGAGGGAAAGGAGAACGAGAGUGAGUUCAUCUCAAACCCUAGAGCUUGUCGCCGCCAUCGUCACCACCAUUCAUCUCAUUUCAGCCGCUUCCAUCAACCUUCUGCGUUCGAGUGAAGGCGCCUCUAUCGAUGCGUUUCCAAAUUUGGUCACUACGCCAUAGCUUAUAAGAUUGAGCGAAGCACCUAUUCCAUUAAUGUGUCUCCUCCGCCAGCGGCACCGCAUAUAUAUUAUGGAAGCAAUGGGAUGGUGAAGGAGCAGCCAAGGUUGGCUUGGGCAGCAAAUAGGGAAGCAAGGUCAACAUACCUUGCUGGCCCUGACAACUAUGACUAUGGUGCGUAUCAAUGGACCGUUCAACUUGUCACCAAUGAUAUCCGCUUGGAAAAGAUCCUUUUUCCUAUCUUCUGGGGCCUCAUGACUCUCAGAGAGCACAACAGAAUGGCUUGAAGUUGUUUUCAACAUUAUUGUAUUAACUAGUGGCCUUCUUCUUGUCAAUAUGUUGAUUGGAAACAUUAAGAUCAGAUGGUAUUGAAAACAAAAAUAAAUAUGCUUCUGCGACUGCAAGCAAUCCUCCUGGAUUAACAAAAGCUGGUUUUAGUGGCGAACAUCCGAAACAAUCUGCUAUGCACGAGCUGAAGAUUGUGGAGCCUUCUAAGGCUGAUUUGAAGCAAUUGGAGCCAAAAUCUCUUGAAGUGAAUGCUACUGUUUUGAGGCAAUCUGAUCCUGCUCGAAAAGAAGAUGUGUCAAAGAUUUAUCAAAGUUCCAAUCUACUUCUUUGUGAAAGUACCAAUAAAGGAAAGGAAGCUGUUGUAAAAAAUAUAGAGCCUGCAGUAGCCUCUUCAUCCGUUUGCUCUGGCAAUGGCGCAGAGAGAAUUUCGGGCAACCCAAACCAAAGUUUGAAGAAAAAAAGACAAGAAACUGAGGACUCUGAGUGCCACAGUGAAGUUAAUGUUCUAGAAUUGCACUUCCAUACAUGUUUACUUAUUAUCUUACCUAUGUUGACAGUUAUUCUCUAUUAACCAAAAAUUAAAUUUCUUUUACUAAUAGGAUGUUGAGGAAGAAUCAGUGGGUGUUAAAAAGGCAGGUCCAACACGAGGUGUUAAGAGAAGUCGUUCAGCCGAAGUACAUAAUCUAUCUGAAAGGAGGCGAAGAGACAGGAUCAAUGAGAAGAUGCGUGUAUUGCAAGAUCUCAUACCAAACUGCAAUAAGGGUUUGAUGUGGGAGAACUCUCAGAAGAGAGUCCAGAUGAUUGGGAAGGUUUAGAUGCAUCAGCAGCACACAUAGCUAACUUGCUGUCAACAGAACCAGCUGAUGGUGCCCCCAAACUUUUCAGCUCUGACAUGGUGCUCAUACAUGUAUUAUUUGAUGGAAAUGAUUUAUUUGGUUCUAUACCAGAAACAUUAGGACUAGUUCAGACACUUGAGGUUCUGUAGUUCAGUUUUUUAAUAAAUUUUCUCGACUCUUUCUACCAACAACAAACAACAACAAAGCCUUGUCCCACUAAGUGGGGUCGGCUCUUUCUACCAAUCUAAUUUUAUUUUUUCUCUUUAUAUUAUUUGACUAGUUAUAUAUUGUUUCUAAUGACAUCUUUUCAUUGUUAUAAUUUCAAUUUAUAACAGCCGGCUUGAUAGAAAUUUUCUGACAGAAGAGGUUCCUACAAAUCUUUGUAAGAGAUGAGUUUGGAUAAUGAAAAUGGAAUGUUAGAGCAAGAAACAAAGAUGUUGGAGCAAGUUCUCGGGAUGAAACUCACACAAGAGACCAAGAAACUAAGGUAGGCUUGUUUUAAAGUUAAUUAUAAAAGGAGGAAAUUUUUGGCCUUCAAAUCUUAUUCAUCAUCACUUAGCUAAGCUACUUGUCUUGUAUAUUCAUAUUUUAAGUAGUAAAAACAGUACUUAUUAGAUCGUUUAAAUACAUUAUUAGAUAUUAAUAUAGUUUAGGGAACUGGAUGGUAGAUUUGAUUGAUUAGUGUUUAUUGUAAUGCUUGUAUUUUGGUAAGUUUAGUAAGACAAAGUUUUGUA